This 507-nucleotide ribosomal RNA is filed under the name uncultured Sphingobacteriales bacterium. RNAcentral's name for it is "bacterial SSU rRNA". It matches the Rfam family "Bacterial small subunit ribosomal RNA", at positions 8 to 504 of the family's 1533-position model. The record is from RNAcentral. Lineage: Bacteria; Pseudomonadati; Bacteroidota; Sphingobacteriia; Sphingobacteriales.
AGGCUUUGAUCCUGGCUCAGGAUGAACGCUAGCGGCAGGCUUAAUACAUGCAAGUCGAGGGGCAGCAUAAAGGUAGUAAUACUUGGGUGGCGACCGGCAAACGGGUGCGGAACACGUACACAACCUUCCUUUCGGUGGGGGAUAGCCUUUGGAAACGAAGAUUAAUACCCCAUAACACAGGGGCACUGCAUGGUGAUAUUGUUAAAGAUUUAUCGCCGGAAGAUGGGUGUGCGGCUGAUUAGGUAGUUGGCGGGGUAACGGCCCACCAAGCCGACGAUCAGUAACUGGUGUGAGAGCACGACCAGUCACACGGGCACUGAGACACGGGCCCGACUCGAUACGGGAGGCAGCAGUAAGGAAUAUUGGUCAAUGGACGGAAGUCUGAACCAGCCAUGCCGCGUGGAGGAUGAAGGUCCUCUGGAUUGUAAACUUCUUUUAUAGGGGGCGAAAAAAGGGAAUUCUUUCUACGUCUGACGGUACCCUUAUGAAUAAGCACCGGCGUAACAU